UCCGAGGGGCUGCCAUAGUACAUGCAAGUCGAACGAACUCUGGUUUUUAUUUGGGUGCUUGCCUCAUGAUUUACAGUUUGAGUGGGUGGGGAAAUUUGGUGAAGUAAACACGUGUGGAAACCCCUGCCCGGAAGGGGGGGGAUAACACCCUGGGAAAGAGGGUUUUUUAACUCCCGCAUAACAACCUUGGGCCCCCGCUUUUUCCCGAGUUUGAAAGAUGGUUUUUUGGCUAUCACUUUUUUGGGGAUGGUUCCCCGGGGCGUUUUAGCUAGAGGGUGGUGGGGAUAACGGCCCUCCCCCUGGCAAUUUUAUUUUGGGCCGACCUUGGGGGGGUUAUUUCGGCCACAUUGGGGACUGGGGCCCGGGCCCAAAUUUCUUAGGGGGAGGCAGCAGUUGGGGAUUUUUCCACAAUGGACGAAAGUUUUGAUGGAGCAACGCCGCCUUGAGUGAAGAAAGGGUUUUGGGUUGGUAAAAUUUUGGUUGUUAAAGAAGAACAUUUCUGAGAGUAACUGUUCAGGUAUUGACGGUAUUUAACCAGAAAGCCACGGCUAAUUACGUGCCAGCAGCCGCGGUAAUACGUAGGUGGCAAGCGUUGUCCGGAUUUAUUGGGCGUAAAGCGAGCGCCGGCGGUUUUUUAAGUCUGAUGUGAAAGCCUUCGGCUCAACCGAAGAAGUGCAUCGGAAACUGGGAAACUUGAGUGCAGAAGAGGACAGUGGAACUCCAUGUGUAGCGGUGAAAUGCGUAGAUAUAUGGAAGAACACCAGUGGCGAAGGCGGCUGUCUGGUCUGUAACUGACGCUGAGGCUCGAAAGUAUGGGUAGCAAACAGGAUUAGAUACCCUGGUAGUCCAUACCGUAAACGAUGAAUGCUAAGUGUUGGAGGGUUUCCGCCCUUCAUUGCUGCAGCUAACGCAUUAAGCAUUCCGCCUGGGGAGUACGGCCGCAAGGCUGAAACUCACAGGAAUUGACGGGGGCCCGCACAAGCGGUGGAGCAUGUGGUUUAAUUCUAAGCUACGCGAGGAACCUUACCAGGUCUUGACGUACUAUGCAAAUCUAAGAGAUUAGACGUUCCCUUCGGGGACAUGGAUACAGGUGGUGCAUGGUUGUCGUCAGCUCGUGUCGUGAGAUGUUGGGUUAAUUCCCGCAACGAGGCGCACCCCUUAUUAUCAUUUGCCAGCAUUAAGUUUGGCCCUCUGGUGGAGACUGCCGGUGACAAACCGGAGGAAGGUGGGGGAUGAACGUGAAAUCAAUCAUGCCCCUUAUGAACGUGGGGUACACACGUGGUGGAAUGGAAUGGUAACACCGAUUUGCGAAUUCGCGAGAGUAGGGUAAUUCUCUUAGGGCCUUUCUCUUUUCUUUUUUGUGGGCUGCGACUCGCCUCCCUGGAGUGGGAAGUCGCUUAGUAAUCGCGGAAUCAGCAUGCCGCGGUGAAUACGUUCCCGGGGCGUUUGUACCCCCCCCGCCCGUCCCCCCAUGAGAGUUUGUAACAUCCAAAGUCAGGUGGGGUAACCUUUUAGGAACCCCAUGCGGCUUAGCCUUUAGGGGCAGAUCAGGGGGGGGGGGGGCCCCCCAACAAAGAAUU
RNAcentral lists this ribosomal RNA (1580 nucleotides) under Lactiplantibacillus plantarum. RNAcentral's name for it is "bacterial SSU rRNA". It matches the Rfam family "Bacterial small subunit ribosomal RNA". The record is from RNAcentral. Lineage: Bacteria; Bacillati; Bacillota; Bacilli; Lactobacillales; Lactobacillaceae.